This 96-nucleotide small nuclear RNA is filed under the name Prolemur simus (greater bamboo lemur). Lineage: Eukaryota; Metazoa; Chordata; Mammalia; Primates; Lemuridae. The record is from RNAcentral.
GUGUUAAGCGCAUAUACUAAAAUUGGAAUGAUACAGAGAAGAUGAGCAUGGCCCCAUGUGCAAGGAUGACACUCAAAUAAAAAAAAAGUUAGUGUU